This 492-nucleotide ribosomal RNA is filed under the name uncultured bacterium. RNAcentral describes it as "partial 16S ribosomal RNA". It matches the Rfam family "Bacterial small subunit ribosomal RNA", at positions 29 to 507 of the family's 1533-position model. The record is from RNAcentral.
AGUGAACGCUGGCGGUAGGCCUAACACAUGCAAGUCGAACGGCAGCACAGUAAGAGCUUGCUCUUACGGGUGGCGAGUGGCGGACGGGUGAGGAAUACAUCGGAAUCUACUUUUUCGUGGGGGAUAACGUAGGGAAACUUACGCUAAUACCGCAUACGACCUACGGGUGAAAGCAGGGGAUCUUCGGACCUUGCGCGAUUGAAUGAGCCGAUGUCGGAUUAGCUAGUUGGCGGGGUAAAGGCCCACCAAGGCGACGAUCCGUAACUGGUCUGAGAGGAUGAUCAGCCACACUGGAACUGAAACACGGUCCAGACUCCUACGGGAGGCAGCAGUGGGGAAUAUUGGACAAUGAGCGCAAGCCUGAUCCAGCCAUACCGCGUGGGUGAAGAAGGCCUUCGGGUUGUAAAGCCCUUUUGUUGGGAAAGAAAAGCAGCAGGUUAAUACCCCGCUGUUAUGACGGUACCCAAAGAAUAAGCACCGGCUAACUUCGUG